GACGAACGCUGGCGGCGUGCUUAACACAUGCAAGUCGAACGGAAAGGCCCUGCUUUUGUGGGGUGCUCGAGUGGCGAACGGGUGAGUAACACGUGAGUAACCUGCCCUUGACUUUGGGAUAACUUCAGGAAACUGGGGCUAAUACCGGAUAGCAGCUCCUGCUGCAUGGUGGGGGUUGGAAAGUUUCGGCGGUUGGGGAUGGACGCGCGGAUUAUCAGCUUGUUGGUUGGGGAGUGGCUUACCAAGGCUUUGACCGGUAGCCGGCCUGAGAGGGUGGACGGCCACAUUGGGACUAAGGUAGGCCCCAGCCGCGUACGGGGGGCAGCGGUGGCAAGUCUUGCACAGUGGGCCGAAGCCUGAUGCAGCAGCGCCGCGUUCGGAAUGACGGCCUUCGGGUUGUAAACCGCUUUCGCCUAUUACGAAGCGUUAGUGACGGUAAUGGGUAAAGAAGCACCGGCUAACUACGUG
This 468-nucleotide ribosomal RNA is filed under the name uncultured bacterium. Its description in RNAcentral is "partial 16S ribosomal RNA". It matches the Rfam family "Bacterial small subunit ribosomal RNA", at positions 28 to 507 of the family's 1533-position model. The record is from RNAcentral.